This 74-nucleotide transfer RNA is filed under the name Haliotis rufescens (red abalone). RNAcentral's name for it is "tRNA-Ile". It matches the Rfam family "tRNA". Rfam says of the family: Transfer RNA (tRNA) molecules are approximately 80 nucleotides in length. The record is from RNAcentral. Lineage: Eukaryota; Metazoa; Mollusca; Gastropoda; Lepetellida; Haliotidae.
GCCCCGGUGGCACAAUCGGUUAGCGCGCCGUACUUAUAUUUCGGAGGUUGUGAGUUCGAGCCUCACCUGGGGCA